GAUGAACGCUGGCGGCGUGCCUAAUACAUGCAAGUCGAGCGAACGGACGAGAAGCUUGCUUCUCUGAUGUUAGCGGCGGACGGGUGAGUAACACGUGGAUAACCUACCUAUAAGACUGGGAUAACUUCGGGAAACCGGAGCUAAUACCGGAUAAUAUUUUGAACCGCAUGGUUCAAAAGUGAAAGACGGUCUUGCUGUCACUUAUAGAUGGAUCCGCGCUGCAUUAGCUAGUUGGUAAGGUAACGGCUUACCAAGGCAACGAUGCAUAGCCGACCUGAGAGGGUGAUCGGCCACACUGGAACUGAGACACGGUCCAGACUCCUACGGGAGGCAGCAGUAGGGAAUCUUCCGCAAAGGGCGAAAGCCUGACGGAGCAACGCCGCGUGAGUGAUGAAGGUCUUCGGAGCGUAAAACUCUGUUAUUAGGGAAGAACAUAUGUGUAAGUAACUGUGCACAUCUUGACGGUACCUAAUCAGAAAGCCACGGCUAACUACGUG
RNAcentral lists this ribosomal RNA (497 nucleotides) under uncultured bacterium. Its description in RNAcentral is "partial 16S ribosomal RNA". It matches the Rfam family "Bacterial small subunit ribosomal RNA", at positions 28 to 507 of the family's 1533-position model. The record is from RNAcentral.